UAUAGAUGAACUAUCUGGAUAAGGAAA
This 27-nucleotide non-coding RNA is filed under the name Mus musculus (house mouse). Lineage: Eukaryota; Metazoa; Chordata; Mammalia; Rodentia; Muridae. The record is from RNAcentral.